AUGUCGACUUUCCAGAACACAGAAAACGCAAAGGGCGAUUCUCGCUGCAUCACUGCAGUGUUUGACAUACACACGUCAGACUCCAGUCACGUAACUACUACCGACAAUACCACCACCGUCGUCGGCACCGUGAUCGGUCUGGGCAUCGGAGGGUCGACUCGACUGAAUCUGAGCACCAUCAACUUCAACGACAUCUAUUCUGCGUUCAAUCGAGGGCUCGGCCAAACUGGCCUGCCUGCUGAGAGUCUACUCCCCCCAGGGGGCGAUGGUGAGCUGGGAGGUGGACGGGCGGAGGUCAAGGAUGGGGUCCUGACCACCACAGAAGAAGAGAAGGGCGGCCACUUCAGCCGCAGUAGCACCCUGACCCUGAGCAAGGCACGCUGGGAAGAUGGAGAGGUGUACACCUUGAUCUUCACUGUAACAGCUGCAGCAUCACAACACAGAGAGGUUUUUGUACCAGCAGUAACAGGGAUUGUAUCACUGUGGUGGACUUUUGGUAGCGGCACCAGACUUGAUGUUGGAAGUAACAGUUCCCCCACCCUCACCGUCCUUCCCCCCUCUAGUGAGGAGCUGUCCAGUAAGUCAACAGCCACGCUGACGUGUCUGGCUAACAAGGGCUUCCCCUCAGACUGGACCAUGAGCUGGAAAGUGGACGGGACCAGCAAGAAGCAGGAGGCCAGUCCCGGGGUCCAGGAGAAGGACGGCCUGUAUAGCUGGAGCAGCACACUGACUCUCACUGCCCAGGAGUGGACCAAGGCAGGAGAGGUGACCUGUGAAGCCCAGCAGAAAUCCCAGACUCCAGUCACCAAGACCCUGAGGAGGGCUGACUGUUCUGGGUAGGACCCCUCUGUCACACACCCCUGUGGAGAGAGGAUGCUGGUUCCUCUGCUUUGACUUGCUUUGUUCUAAAAUC
Molecule: non-coding RNA, 913 nt
Organism: Coregonus clupeaformis (lake whitefish)
Lineage: Eukaryota; Metazoa; Chordata; Actinopteri; Salmoniformes; Salmonidae
Source: the annotation of a RefSeq genome assembly